CCCAUCCUCUCUCUCUCUCUCUCUUAACCGUUUUCAAAAAUCUCCUUCUCUGGAAUCCGUCCAUCGGAAAGUUAAGAAACUUGCCGUCAUUGGAAGAUGAACGCUUCUCCGUCGUUACCUCGGGGUUCGACUCUAGGGUUCAUACUUUGGGAUCUGAUUCGUGGAGAAGGAUUCAACACUUUCCUCUCAGCAGCACUGCGUGUUGUCCUGGAAGAUUCGUGAGCGGCAUGCUUAAUUGGUUGGAUAAGAAUCGGUUCAUUGUUUCUCUCGAUUUGGCAUUGGAGUCGUAUCGACGAAUUUCGCUUCCUGAUUUCGGAGGUAACAAUAGUGAUGAGUUUGAAUUGACAUUAGAGGUCUUCAAGGACAGUUUAUGUGUUCUCUCAUGCUGUAGCCAUUUCACUGAUGUGAGAGAUUGUGGGUUCCCCAGUUCAAUUAUUGUUACAAUUUGGAGAACAUUGACGGAGAAAAGCUGCCUGCCUCUCCAUUACGGCUCAUCAUCAAUGGAAGCCCUUUGCUGGGUAAACAGUGUCAGAUGAAGGACCCGCAGGUUUGGCCCAAAAUUUCCCACAUCCGCGUCAUUAAAGUUGAUGGAAGAUGGAUUUGGUAAUCCAACAACUUCAACAGCUUUUCCAUGGAAGCCAACAAGAGAUAACUUUGGCAGUUACGGUUUAGCUUUUGAUGCAUCAAUAAUAUUCAAUCAUUGUAAUACUCAGAGGAAUUCUGAGAAACAAGACAAUGAUAAUAACUGCAACAGAGGAAGGUUCUUGAGGAGAUAAGUGGUUAGGAAACCUGAUGACUAAAGUGAAAGCAACUAAGCAACCAGGGACAAUCAUGGACACAAUCCAAGAGAUUCAAGAGUGGCAUGACACACUGAUUGAUAUAGAGAGGAGCCCCAAUGAACUUCAUCAACUGUCUUGGACAUGGCUGUUUUGGUCCAAUCACAAGGUAAGCAACUCAAUGAUAUACAGAGCCACGUGACAAGAGCGAAUUCGUAUGUCUGCGGUGGGUCCAGCCGUUCCAGUUUGUAAGGAAGCACCAGAAGAAUACCGAAAGUCCACCUUCAUUGCAUUCAUAAUAUUUGAUCAUUUUCAUAUUGAUUAUUGUCCUUCUUAUUGAUCAUCGUCAUAUUUACCUUUUGAAUUUCGGUUCAUGUGUAUGUUACACUCUAAAAUUCUUCCAAACCGUCUGAUAAUAAAUUUCAGGUGCAUGAACUAAAGUUUAGCAGAUAAAUUUAGUUUUGCUUUAGUUAAUGGGAUAUUGAUUGGUGGCUAUGAACAAAUUGGACUAAUUCAAAAUCUUAUCAAGAGAAAUCAAGUCAACAUAUUCUGUCACUGUGUCAUAUAACCAUUGCAUUGUAAAAUAAUACCUUGUUUGUUUUUCUGAACCUACCCUUUUCAAGAUUGACACUCUCAUGUUCAUGGUCUGGAAGGUUAUACUUGUAGUGAAAUAAGAGUGGCAAAAAUUCACAAAUGAAACACUACAACACCAAUAAAAUGAAAAGCAUAGGGAAUUCAGAAUAUCUAAAAUGUUAAACAAUGAAAAGGGAAUGAAUUAAGAUGAUGAUGAAGACAAUCUUGAAGAAUGCCAUAGUCUGUCUACUUGCAUUCACUAACCUUCUCCAUUAGUUGACAGCAGCUCCUUAUUAUUGAGGGUUUAAUUCAUCAAUAGCCACUCUAAUCUCUUUUGAAUGCAUGUAUUUUGUUUUUUGGGAUUUUAAAAAUUUUCUUUACAUGUAUCACAUGCUAUAAAUAUUGUUGAAUUACCUUUCUUGGAGUUUAUAUAUUGGAGGAAUGAGAUUAGUUGUUUUGCACCCUUAAACGGUUAUAGUC
Molecule: long non-coding RNA, 1829 nt
Organism: Arachis duranensis
Lineage: Eukaryota; Viridiplantae; Streptophyta; Magnoliopsida; Fabales; Fabaceae
Exons: 4
Source: RefSeq, a predicted model, not a curated record